CUGUGACUGAUGGCAAGGUUCACUGUCACAUUCAUUCUUUCUUUCAUUAAUUCCAAACAGUCUCAAGAGGUCAGCUGACCUGGCUUCCUGCCUGAGGUGGUCAGCAAGGAAACCACUAGAGCUGGAAGGUCAAUGGGUCUAAAGGAUGCAUCAUAAGAAAUGAUGUGAACUGUGAACAUCAAACAAAAAGCCAUCAGUUCUUCCAGCAACAGGAUGAGUUUAUUCAAAAGCAACAAUUAAAAUGCAUUUUGGACAGGAAAACAACAUCAGUGCCCACCUGAGAAGUACAUACUUGGUCAUAUAGUUUGCUGCCUGUACAUGCCUAAGUUGUCCUUUCUAGGAUCCCACUCUCAUUAAAUAGGAUAUGAGUGAAAAUGGAUGAAGAAAAGGGAAAUAAAGCUAUUGUAUACUUAGGAGGACUUGAAGAUAAGGAACAAAUGAGCAUGUCUUUUUAUCCCCAUUGAACCCAGAUGACUGCUUGAAGAAGAAAAAAGCAACAUAUUGUCCAAUUACAAUAAGAAUAUACUUCUGAUGCACCUGUUUUACUUCCCAAAGCUGACUUUGAGGACCUUGAUUAUAUCCAUGGUUUGGUAUAAAUUUUCACUGAGAUCUUUAUCUCAUCCUGACACCAAUU
Molecule: long non-coding RNA, 634 nt
Organism: Erinaceus europaeus (western European hedgehog)
Lineage: Eukaryota; Metazoa; Chordata; Mammalia; Eulipotyphla; Erinaceidae
Exons: 4
Source: RefSeq, a predicted model, not a curated record